Castor canadensis (American beaver) is the source of this 729-nucleotide non-coding RNA. NCBI's taxonomy places the organism in Eukaryota, Metazoa, Chordata, Mammalia, Rodentia, Castoridae. The record is from RefSeq and is a predicted model, not a curated record.
GUUUCCGAGGAGGAAGGAGCCGCCGCCAUUUUGGGAGCUUCGAGUCAACAAUAAAGGACCGAGGGUGCCGAGCGGGAGUGGCCUCGGUGAUUGAACUGAGUGAAUUCAGAUAUAACUCAAGCUUGUUGUUUGAGGGCUUAAAAAAAAAAGUUGAUUCGGUGCAUGAGAGCAAGUUACUGCUGCUUACUGUUCAGAGACUUACAGGUGCUUGCCUGCAUUGCAAUAAAGGACUCAUAUAUUGAGCAAGACUUAUAUUUAUCUCUUCAUUUUGGAGAGCCUAAUAAACUGUUAUUACAGUUUCUCUACUGACUUUCAAAAGUUUUGAAGUUCGAAAGAGACACCUUUGCAAUUAACACAGCAUGAGCACGGCCAGAACAGAGAACCCUGUUAUAAUGGGUCUGUCCAGUCAAAUGGUCAGCUGAGGGGCCCUGUGAAGCCCAGUGGUGGCCCUGGAGGAGGGGGCACACAGACACAGCAACAGAUGAACCAGUUGAAAAACACCAACACAAUCAAUAAUGGCACUCAACAGCAAGCACAGAGUUUGACCACCACUAUUAAACCUGGUGAUGACUGGAAAAAGACUUUAAAACUCCCUCCAAAGGAUCUAAGAAUCAAAACUUCGGAUGUGACCUCCACAAAAGGAAAUGAGUUUGAAGAUUACUGUUUGAAACGGGAGUUACUGAUGGGAAUUUUUGAAAUGGGCUGGGAAAAGCCAUCUCCUAUUCAGGU